AAGCUAAAGGCUCAUAUGGAGAAGAGCCAGAGUGUGGGGAUAAGGCAAGGAUUCUCCCAAAGUCUGGGAAAAGACCCAGGAUUGCAAGGUUGAAGGCAUCAGCACCACAAGACCAGGAAAGGACUAAGGAAAAUCCAUUAUGUGCUAACAGUGGUGUUCCUCUGCCCGGAAGAUUGAGUAGCUGGUAAUCUUUGAUGAAAAAACAGCUGUCUUGAUUUAAUUACCCAGUGUGGAUAAUCCCAAAUGAGACAAAUCAAUUAGAAAGCAGGUAGAGAGUGAAAAGGAUGCUGGGUUCAGAGACGGACUGGCGUCUAGAGACAGCCGCAUUCGUUUUCACUGAGAACAGCUCCUUGACGUGGCUGUGGGCCUCGUCCAGAAGAUAAAGCAUGCUUUCCAAAGCGUGCACCGAUGCUGCAGCCCCUGAGUGAGUCUCCUGUUCUAAGCCAUAUGCAGAUGACCAAAAAGAGAAGAGAUUGCACUUUGCUCCUGGAGGAAAAAAGGAAAUACACUGGACCCCAUGAAAAACAAGCACGGAGAACUCCAACGCAGCCUCAGCAAAGAGGCUAUUGAGAGAUCGAUUAUACUUGCUGUCCCACUGGGCGAAGCUGGGAGGAGACCCCUGCACUGACUGACCAUAUGAACUUAGAAAAUCGGAUUUGGUCGUGCUCCCUACAAAAAAAAAAACUCAGCUGGCAAUGACUUCUCACCUCAUUAACAGAGCCCAAGUUACGGUGGCCAGUCUGUAACAGAUAGAGAGGCACUUUGAGUGUUGGGCAAGUUGCUAAUAAUGCCUCCAGUUUACUUAGAAGAAUGAUGAUAAACAGCAUAGGGGUUUUUUUAAUAUAUGGCAGAUGAACUGGAUUGCCUUUAAGCGUACAGACCGUUGGGGAUGCUCAGAUCUGGACCCAUGCCUUAGGAGGAGAGCCCCUCUUGGCUUUCCAUCACCAGGCAAGAGCACAGCAACUCCUGAAAGGGUCUCGGGACCUCCCAGUCCCAGCUGACCUCCUGUUCAGUACCUUGCAGAAUCAGGCCCAGUUUCAGCAUCUUAACUUCAGUAUGGAUGGGUGAAAAUAACCCGUUGCUCCCACCUGCUUCUCAUGACACUGUGUGGGCGAUGAUCCUCAACCUUGACUGAACACAGCAGAAGGUCCUGAAAUCCCGAGAUGUUUCCACCUUACAAUCACCUGGGGUUUUUUUUUUAUGUUCUCAUCAUCUGAGCAGGAUGCACCACUCGUGAGGAGGGGUCGUUGUGGCUUUUACAGACUGCGGGGCUAGCGGAUGCGCUGGACUGUGUGUAAGAAGGGUGUCUUAAUAUUGUAUUUGGCCAGAUUUCUGAUGCGGUUUCCAGAUAGCCUUAAUCCUGAAGCCCUUAGUCCCGGGAGCAGUCCCUAAUGACAUGCCUCAACAGGAUGGCCAGCUUCUCAUGCUCUUCCUCCUGCUGAAGAGCACUUUACUCCAUGCAUGUAAUUUUGGUGACAUAGGAAGAGGCAGUGUGAGGAAUCAGAAGCUGGCCCGCCAUUAUGAGACGGCACAGGACUUAGGCUUGCUUUCAACAUCUUAUUCAAACCCAGGAUGAACUCCAAGUACGUUGACGCUCCUUUCUCUUCAUCUCUAUGAUGGUCUCUCAUGAGAGUCACUACUGGAUGACAGAGGACGGCGUUUUUGCUUUAGUGAUGUGGAUGGAAAGGUGAGAAAAAUCACGGUGAAAACCUCAUACCCUCCUAACGUUGCUCCUGCUCUUCAAAAAUUACAACGCGUGU
Long non-coding RNA from Alligator mississippiensis (American alligator), 1760 nucleotides. RefSeq lists it as uncharacterized. The record is from RefSeq and is a predicted model, not a curated record. Lineage: Eukaryota; Metazoa; Chordata; Crocodylia; Alligatoridae. The transcript has 5 exons.